AGCGUACACGGUGGAUGCCCUGGCAGUCAGAGGCGAUGAAGGACGUGCUAAUCUGCGAUAAGCGUCGGUAAGGUGAUAUGAACCGUUAUAACCGGCGAUUUCCGAAUGGGGAAACCCAGUGUGAUUCGUCACACUAUCAUUAACUGAAUCCAUAGGUUAAUGAGGCGAACCGGGGGAACUGAAACAUCUAAGUACCCCGAGGAAAAGAAAUCAACCGAGAUUCCCCCAGUAGCGGCGAGCGAACGGGGAGCAGCCCAGAGCCUGAAUCAGUGUGUGUGUUAGUGGAAGCGUCUGGAAAGGCGCGCGAUACAGGGUGACAGCCCCGUACACAAAAAUGCACAUACUGUGAGCUCGAUGAGUAGGGCGGGACACGUGGUAUCCUGUCUGAAUAUGGGGGGACCAUCCUCCAAGGCUAAAUACUCCUGACUGACCGAUAGUGAACCAGUACCGUGAGGGAAAGGCGAAAAGAACCCCGGCGAGGGGAGUGAAAAAGAACCUGAAACCGUGUACGUACAAGCAGUGGGAGCACGCUUAGGCGUGUGACUGCGUACCUUUUGUAUAAUGGGUCAGCGACUUAUAUUCUGUAGCAAGGUUAACCGAAUAGGGGAGCCGAAGGGAAACCGAGUCUUAACUGGGCGUUAAGUUGCAGGGUAUAGACCCGAAACCCGGUGAUCUAGCCAUGGGCAGGUUGAAGGUUGGGUAACACUAACUGGAGGACCGAACCGACUAAUGUUGAAAAAUUAGCGGAUGACUUGUGGCUGGGGGUGAAAGGCCAAUCAAACCGGGAGAUAGCUGGUUCUCCCCGAAAGCUAUUUAGGUAGCGCCUCGUGAAUUCAUCUCCGGGGGUAGAGCACUGUUUCGGCAAGGGGGUCAUCCCGACUUACCAACCCGAUGCAAACUGCGAAUACCGGAGAAUGUUAUCACGGGAGACACACGGCGGGUGCUAACGUCCGUCGUGAAGAGGGAAACAACCCAGACCGCCAGCUAAGGUCCCAAAGUCAUGGUUAAGUGGGAAACGAUGUGGGAAGGCCCAGACAGCCAGGAUGUUGGCUUAGAAGCAGCCAUCAUUUAAAGAAAGCGUAAUAGCUCACUGGUCGAGUCGGCCUGCGCGGAAGAUGUAACGGGGCUAAACCAUGCACCGAAGCUGCGGCAGCGACGCUUAUGCGUUGUUGGGUAGGGGAGCGUUCUGUAAGCCUGCGAAGGUGUGCUGUGAGGCAUGCUGGAGGUAUCAGAAGUGCGAAUGCUGACAUAAGUAACGAUAAAGCGGGUGAAAAGCCCGCUCGCCGGAAGACCAAGGGUUCCUGUCCAACGUUAAUCGGGGCAGGGUGAGUCGACCCCUAAGGCGAGGCCGAAAGGCGUAGUCGAUGGGAAACAGGUUAAUAUUCCUGUACUUGGUGUUACUGCGAAGGGGGGACGGAGAAGGCUAUGUUGGCCGGGCGACGGUUGUCCCGGUUUAAGCGUGUAGGCUGGUUUUCCAGGCAAAUCCGGAAAAUCAAGGCUGAGGCGUGAUGACGAGGCACUACGGUGCUGAAGCAACAAAUGCCCUGCUUCCAGGAAAAGCCUCUAAGCAUCAGGUAACAUCAAAUCGUACCCCAAACCGACACAGGUGGUCAGGUAGAGAAUACCAAGGCGCUUGAGAGAACUCGGGUGAAGGAACUAGGCAAAAUGGUGCCGUAACUUCGGGAGAAGGCACGCUGAUAUGUAGGUGAAGUCCCUCGCGGAUGGAGCUGAAAUCAGUCGAAGAUACCAGCUGGCUGCAACUGUUUAUUAAAAACACAGCACUGUGCAAACACGAAAGUGGACGUAUACGGUGUGACGCCUGCCCGGUGCCGGAAGGUUAAUUGAUGGGGUUAGCGCAAGCGAAGCUCUUGAUCGAAGCCCCGGUAAACGGCGGCCGUAACUAUAACGGUCCUAAGGUAGCGAAAUUCCUUGUCGGGUAAGUUCCGACCUGCACGAAUGGCGUAAUGAUGGCCAGGCUGUCUCCACCCGAGACUCAGUGAAAUUGAACUCGCUGUGAAGAUGCAGUGUACCCGCGGCAAGACGGAAAGACCCCGUGAACCUUUACUAUAGCUUGACACUGAACAUUGAGCCUUGAUGUGUAGGAUAGGUGGGAGGCUUUGAAGUGUGGACGCCAGUCUGCAUGGAGCCGACCUUGAAAUACCACCCUUUAAUGUUUGAUGUUCUAACGUUGACCCGUGAUCCGGGUUGCGGACAGUGUCUGGUGGGUAGUUUGACUGGGGCGGUCUCCUCCUAAAGAGUAACGGAGGAGCACGAAGGUUGGCUAAUCCUGGUCGGACAUCAGGAGGUUAGUGCAAUGGCAUAAGCCAGCUUGACUGCGAGCGUGACGGCGCGAGCAGGUGCGAAAGCAGGUCAUAGUGAUCCGGUGGUUCUGAAUGGAAGGGCCAUCGCUCAACGGAUAAAAGGUACUCCGGGGAUAACAGGCUGAUACCGCCCAAGAGUUCAUAUCGACGGCGGUGUUUGGCACCUCGAUGUCGGCUCAUCACAUCCUGGGGCUGAAGUAGGUCCCAAGGGUAUGGCUGUUCGCCAUUUAAAGUGGUACGCGAGCUGGGUUUAGAACGUCGUGAGACAGUUCGGUCCCUAUCUGCCGUGGGCGCUGGAGAACUGAGGGGGGCUGCUCCUAGUACGAGAGGACCGGAGUGGACGCAUCACUGGUGUUCGGGUUGUCAUGCCAAUGGCACUGCCCGGUAGCUAAAUGCGGAAGAGAUAAGUGCUGAAAGCAUCUAAGCACGAAACUUGCCCCGAGAUGAGUUCUCCCUGACUCCUUGA
RNAcentral lists this ribosomal RNA (2787 nucleotides) under Escherichia coli. Its description in RNAcentral is "bacterial LSU rRNA". It matches the Rfam family "Bacterial large subunit ribosomal RNA". The record is from RNAcentral. Lineage: Bacteria; Pseudomonadati; Pseudomonadota; Gammaproteobacteria; Enterobacterales; Enterobacteriaceae.